Molecule: small RNA, 1315 nt
Filed under: Pan troglodytes (chimpanzee)
Lineage: Eukaryota; Metazoa; Chordata; Mammalia; Primates; Hominidae
Description: retained intron
Source: RNAcentral
GUAGGAGCCUCUCUCCCUACUGCUGCUACACAAGACCCUGAGACUGACCUGCAGGAAGAAACUAUGAAGAGCCUGAUCCUUCUUGCCAUCCUGGCCGCCUUAGUGGUAGUAACUUUGUGUUAUGAAUCACAUGAAAGCAUGGAAUCUUAUGAACUUAGUAAGUGAAUAUUUAACUUCUUUAUUCAAAUCCCUUGCAUUAAAGAACCUCUUCUUAUUUUUAAAUAAACAAGAUGGAAAGAUAUAUAACAGGGAGGGAAAAGGGGGCCUCUUUUGGAAAACUAAAGUAAAUUUUUAAAUCGAAUGACUAUAAAAAUUGCCAAAGGAGCAAUUUUUUAAGCUUGAAGUAGUGCAGUAUGGGAUUUAAGUUACAGGCGACAUAUUUAGAAGCCAUAAAAUCUCAUUUGGAAAUUUUAAAUUGGCACCACGUCAACUGCACAGAUGGAAAACGAGGAGUAAUGACAAAUGGUAAAGCACAGAGCUGGACGCCAAGUCAGCUGGGAGACCACAGGCGCCACGUUAAGCUGAGUGCUGUUUUGGUUUUUUUGGGGUUUUUUUCCUUGUUUUUUUUUUGAGACAGCAUCUCACUCUGUCGCCCAGGCUGGAGUGCAGUGGCGUGAUCUCGGCUCGCCGCAACCUCCACCUCCCAGGUUCAGGCAAUUCUCAUGCCUCAGCCUCCUGAGUAGCUGGGAUUACAGGCCCAUGACACCAUGCCUGGCUAAUUUUUGUAUUUUUAGUAGAGAUGGGGUUUCACCAUGUUGUCCAGGCUGGUCUGGAACUCCUGGCCUCAAGUGAUCCACCCACCACAGCCUCCCAAAGUGCCGGGAUUACAGGCAUGAGCCACCACACCCAGCCAGCUGAUUGCUGUUGAAUAGCUGGAUUUAUAAAGACUGAGCAUAGGAGGAAAUGGCACAUCACUCUCAUUUUUAAUUUAUUCAUUAUUUUUAUAGUGUUUAAACUGUUCAUGUACCGGCAAUCUAGUUAUGCUUCAUAAAUCCUCAGGACAGAGAAUUUCUCCUCAAAAGGAAUUUAAGAUCUACCAAGUAGAAAUACAGAAAUUAAGAAAGGCAAAGUGAUCGUCCAAACGCAAAACCAACAAAGCCUAUAUGACAAGUCUCUAAGACACAUGGAUUGAUGACUGAUUUCAUUUGAUCAGGAAGUUAAUGAAAUCUACUUUAUACUCUCCUUUAAUUUUUGCCAAUCUCUGUUUAUAUGAGUUGCAGAAGUUAAGGCACUUUCAAAUAUAUUUGUGUCAAGGAAUAUUCACGGAAAUAUUUCCAGCUAUGUGUCGCUAAAACUGCAUUUAUUUAUUUUCUGU